AUGGCGACCGGCGCACGGGUGAGUAACGCGUAUCCAACCUGCCCUUUACUAUGGGACAGCCCGUCGAAAGGCGGAUUAAUACCGUAUGUUGUCAUGUUGAUGCAUAUUUUCAUGACCAAAGGCUUCGGCCGGUAAAGGAUGGGGAUGCGUCUGAUUAGCUUGCCGGCGGGGUAACGGCCCACCGGGGCGACGAUCAGUAGGGGUUCUGAAAGGAAGGUCCCCCACAUUGGAACUGAGACACGGUCCAAACUCCUACGGGAGGCAGCAG
Molecule: ribosomal RNA, 268 nt
Filed under: uncultured bacterium
Lineage: Bacteria
Description: partial 16S ribosomal RNA
Rfam family: Bacterial small subunit ribosomal RNA
Source: RNAcentral